UCUUAGUUUUGAAAGAAAAAAGAUAGGCUUAAAGGGAUGUACUCAUGCGGGAAUCUUUAUAUAUAUAUACCAGAGGUGCAUGAAUUGACAGAGAUCGAUACAUUAUUCCUUUUUUCAAAUCCUUAGAAAAAAAUUCUUAUUAUCUUCUGGGUUCUAUGGAAUGCAUGGAACAAGUUUUGAUUUUAUUUCUUGGUCUUACUGACAUAAGACAACUUUAAUAAACAAUUAAGACAUCUUUGUAAUUUUGGUAAACAAUUCAUAUGACGUUUUCAAAACUGAUUAAAUGAUCAGAUACUUGGCUUUACUUAGUUUACUUUUUUUGUUGGAGUUUUUGGGUGUUAAAUGGGCAAGGAGAUAAAAGGCGGGUUUACAAAUUCCUGACGUAAAACCACUCGAAGUUAAAAUGGAUAUCACAGCGCAUGUCGCAGAUGCGGGUAAUGUAAAUCAAAAACUAUAACGGGCUUGCCUGGUUUACAAAGUUACUUUGAAUUUGUAUACGAAGUGUUGUUUCUUGCAUCCUCCGAUAUAUACGAUAGCCUUGUUUUUGUUCAUGUUUUUUUUUGCAGAAAAAGAACCAUAUACAGUAUUUGCUCCUACGGACCUUCCUUGGGAAGCACUGCCAAACAAAACUAUGAACAAACUUAGAGGGAACAAAACAGCAAUUCGCCGUGUUAUGGAAAAUCACAUAGUCUCAGGAACAUAUUUUACAAAUGGCUUGAAACAGAAUGACACUCUGACAACGAUGCUGGGAGAAGAAUUGAGAGUGGAUUCUAUUAUAGGUAAUGUGACAGUGAAUGGAUCUUUUCUAGGAUUUCCGGAUAUUGCUGCCACCAACGGAGUUGUACAUAUCACGACAAAGAUUUUUUGGCCGAUAGAUUUUGACUGGGAACAUUAAUUAGUUCUGAUGAACAAGUAGAGACAGAGACUGUCGGAGUGAAAACGUUUUGGAAGAAUUGAAUAUAUUUUAAUGUAUUUAGUACUAACAAAUGAUAUUUAUGUAUGCUUAUUAUCUAUUUUUUUUUAUACAA
Mytilus californianus (California mussel) is the source of this 1028-nucleotide long non-coding RNA. RefSeq lists it as uncharacterized. The record is from RefSeq and is a predicted model, not a curated record. NCBI's taxonomy places the organism in Eukaryota, Metazoa, Mollusca, Bivalvia, Mytilida, Mytilidae. The transcript has 3 exons.